GGUCAAGAAGAGAAGCGCAAACGGUGGAUGCCUUGGCAGUAAGAGGCGAAGAAGGACGUGGAAUCCUGCGAAAAGCUAUGGGGAGCUGGAAACGAGCGUUGAGCCAUAGAUGUCCGAAUGGGGGAACCCGGCUGCAGCGAUGCGGUCAUUUGCAUUUGAAUACAUAGGAUGCAAAGGCGAACUCGGGGAACUGAAACAUCUAAGUACCCGAAGGAAAAGAAAUCAAGAGAGAUUCUCCAAGUAGCGGCGAGCGAACGGGGAGG
This 263-nucleotide ribosomal RNA is filed under the name Legionella pneumophila. RNAcentral describes it as "partial 23S ribosomal RNA". It matches the Rfam family "Bacterial large subunit ribosomal RNA", at positions 1 to 265 of the family's 2925-position model. Lineage: Bacteria; Pseudomonadati; Pseudomonadota; Gammaproteobacteria; Legionellales; Legionellaceae. The record is from RNAcentral.